This 710-nucleotide small RNA is filed under the name Arabidopsis thaliana (thale cress). RNAcentral's name for it is "ATSL088040". Lineage: Eukaryota; Viridiplantae; Streptophyta; Magnoliopsida; Brassicales; Brassicaceae. The record is from RNAcentral.
UUACGAAUGUAACUCCCGACCACUCUUCUAAAUAUACUAAGGCGGAGAACUCUUGUUCAUUGGAGCGCCGUAGUGCGGAGGUUCUUCCCAUCAUGGAAGUCCGAGUUGGGACUGAGCCUUCCGAAUGAUAAUGCUUUGUUUCGUUGGAAAAACCAACGCAAAUCUCAUAUUGACUUUCUAUCGCCCUACUUCUAAGGAUAGAUAGAGAGAGUUACUUUAUGAAAUUAUCUCCCUUCUAAAGCAGCGCAAGUCGGCCCCCCCAGAACAAAGCCCCUACUCCCGAGAGGUAUAAAUGACUCGACUAAAAGGAGAGGUAUUUAUUACUCGAGCACUUGUUGCGAGAGGUCCAACGUAAUUUAUUACUCUUAUAAAAGAGGGAACUCGACUGAAAGGAGAGGUUGUUUACAUACUCGACUAAAAGGAGAGGUCCAAAUGGACUUCUGUGAAUUACAGUGAUCCAGUCUCACGGAUAUGGAGCUUCGCCGGAGAUGGCAGGGCAAAACCUGAUGGACCUUUUUUUUUUUUUUCUCAAGAGGUGAUUUCGAGAAUCAACCAACCGACGAGACUAAUUCGAGGAUGUGUUAAAAGAGAGUCUAACCGCCAAGGCAAGUCCCAUGGAUAAGCCCCAGCCUCCCUCUCGUUUCACUCUCGUUCCUCUCCUUACAGUCGAGCUCCUUUGUUCCUUCGGACCUCUCGCCCAAAUGAAAUGG